GACGAACGCUGGCGGCGUGCUUAACACAUGCAAGUCGAACGGAAAGGCCCUGCUUUUGUGGGGUGCUCGAGUGGCGAACGGGUGAGUAACACGUGAGUAACCUGCCCUUGACUUUGGGAUAACUUCAGGAAACUGGGGCUAAUACCGGAUAGGAGCUCCUGCUGCAUGGUGGGGGUUGGAAAGUUUCGGCGGUUGGGGAUGGACUCGCGGCUUAUCAGCUUGUUGGUGGGGUAGUGGCUUACCAAGGCUUUGACGGGUAGCCGGCCUGAGAGGGUGACCGGCCACAUUGGGACUGAGAUACGGCCCAGACUCCUACGGGAGGCAGCAGUGGGGAAUAUUGCACAAUGGGCGGAAGCCUGAUGCAGCAACGCCGCGUGCGGGAUGACGGCCUUCGGGUUGUAAACCGCUUUCGCCUGUGACGAAGCGUGAGUGACGGUAAUGGGUAAAGAAGCACCGGCUAACUACGUGCCAGCGGCCGCGGUGAUACGUAGGGUGCGAGCGUUGUCCGGAUUUAUUGGGCGUAAAGGGCUCGUAGGUGGUUGAUCGCGUCGGAAGUGUAAUCUUGGGGCUUAACCCUGAGCGUGCUUUCGAUACGGGUUGACUUGAGGAAGGUAGGGGGAGAUGGAAUUCCUGGUGGAGCGUGGAAUGCGCAGAUAUCAGGAGGAACACCAGUGGCGAAGGCGGUCCUCUGGGCCUUUCCUGACGCUGAGGAGCGAAAGCGUGGGGAGCGAACAGGCUUAGAUACCCUGGUAGUCCACGCUGUAAACGGUGGGUACUAGGUGUGGGGUCCAUUCCACGGGUUCCGUGCCGUAGCUAACGCUUUAAGUACCCCGCCUGGGGAGUACGGCCGCAAGGCUAAAACUCAAAGGAAUUGACGGGGCCCCGCACAAGCGGCGGAGCAUGCGGAUUAAUUCGAUGCAACGCGUAGAACCUUACCUGGGUUUGACAUGGAUCGGGAGCGCUCAGAGAUGGGUGUGCCUCUUUUGGGGUCGGUUCACAGGUGGUGCAUGGCUGUCGUCAGCUCGUGUCGUGAGAUGUUGGGUUAAGUCCCGCAACGAGCGCAACCCUUGUUCACUGUUGCCAGCACGUUAUGGUGGGGACUCAGUGGAGACCGCCGGGGUCAACUCGGAGGAAGGUGGGGAUGACGUCAAGUCAUCAUGCCCCUUAUGUCCAGGGCUUCACGCAUGCUACAAUGGCUGGUACAGAGAGUGGCGAGCCUGUGAGGGUGAGCGAAUCUCGGAAAGCCGGUCUCAGUUCGGAUUGGGGUCUGCAACUCGACCUCAUGAAGUCGGAGUCGCUAGUAAUCGCAGAUCAGCAACGCUGCGGUGAAUACGUUCCCGGGGCU
RNAcentral lists this ribosomal RNA (1345 nucleotides) under uncultured bacterium. RNAcentral describes it as "bacterial SSU rRNA". It matches the Rfam family "Bacterial small subunit ribosomal RNA", at positions 28 to 1381 of the family's 1533-position model. The record is from RNAcentral.